Molecule: ribosomal RNA, 515 nt
Filed under: uncultured bacterium
Lineage: Bacteria
Description: partial 16S ribosomal RNA
Rfam family: Bacterial small subunit ribosomal RNA
Source: RNAcentral
GACGAACGCUGGCGGCGUGCUUAACACAUGCAAGUCGAGCGAAUGGAUUAAGAGCUUGCUCUUAUGAAGUUAGCGGCGGACGGGUGAGUAACACGUGGGUAACCUGCCCAUAAGACUGGGAUAACUCCGGGAAACCGGGGCUAAUACCGGAUACCAUUUUGAACCGCAUGGGUCGAAAUUGAAAGGCGGCCUCGGCUGCCACUUAUGGAUGGACCCGCGUCGCAUUAGCUAGUUGGUGAGGUAACGGCUCACCAAGGCAACGAUGCGUAGCCGACCUGAGAGGGUGAUCGGCCACACUGGGACUGAGACACGGCCCAGACUCCUACGGGAGGCAGCAGUAGGGAAUCUUCCGCAAUGGACGAAAGUCUGACGGAGCAACGCCGCGUGAGUGAUGAAGGCUUUCGGGUCGUAAAACUCUGUUGUUAGGGAAGAACAAGUGCUAGUUGAAUAAGCUGGCACCUUGACGGUACCUAACCAGAAAGCCACGGCUAACUACGUGCCAGCAGCCGCCGUAA